CCUACGGGAGGCAGCAGUAGGGAAUCUUCCACAAUGGACGAAAGUCUGAUGGAGCAACGCCGCGUGAGUGAAGAAGGGUUUCGGCUCGUAAAGCUCUGUUGGUAGUGAAGUAAGAUAGAGUUAGUAACUGGCCUUUCUUUGAUGGUAAUUACUUAGAAAGUCACGGCUAAUUACGUGCCAGCAGCCGCGGUAAUACGUAGGUGGCAAGCGUUGUCCGGAUUUAUUGGGCGUAAAGGGAGUGCAGGCGGUUCAAUAAGUCUGAUGUGAAAGUCUUCGGCUCAACCGGAGAAUUGCAUCAGAAACUGGUGAACUUGAGUGCAGAAGAGGAGGGUGGAACUCGAUGUGUAGCGGUGGAAUGCUUAGAUAUAUGGAAGAACACCAGUGGCGAAGGCAGCUCGCUGGACUGCAACUGACGCUGAGGCUCGAAAGCAUGGGUAGCGAACAGGAUUAGAUACCCCAGUAGUC
This 465-nucleotide ribosomal RNA is filed under the name uncultured bacterium. RNAcentral's name for it is "partial 16S ribosomal RNA". It matches the Rfam family "Bacterial small subunit ribosomal RNA", at positions 338 to 795 of the family's 1533-position model. The record is from RNAcentral.